CAGCAGCCGCGGGAAUACGGAGGGUGCGAGCGUUAAUCGGAAUAACUGGACGUAAAGGGCACGCAGGCGGUGACUUAAGUGAGGUGUGAAAGCCCCGGGCUUAACCAGGGAAUUGCAUUUCAUACUGGGUCGCUAGAGUACUUUAGGGAGGGGUAGAAUUCCACGUGUAGCGGUGAAAUGCGUAGAGAUGUGGAGGAAUACCGAAGGCGAAGGCAGCCCCUUGGGAAUGUACUGACGCUCAUGUGCGAAAGCGUGGGGAGCAAACAGGAUUAGAUACCCCCGUAGUCCCUGUCUCUUAUAC
Molecule: ribosomal RNA, 301 nt
Filed under: uncultured bacterium
Lineage: Bacteria
Description: partial 16S ribosomal RNA
Rfam family: Bacterial small subunit ribosomal RNA
Source: RNAcentral